ACGGAAGGCAGCAGUGAGGAAUAUUGGUCAAUGGGCGAGAGCCUGAACCAGCCAAGUCGCGUGAAGGAUGAAGGUUCUAUGGAUUGUAAACUUCUUUUGUUCGAGGGUAAAGUGAGGGAUGCGUCCCUUAUUGCAAGUAUCGAACGAAUAAGCAUCGGCUAACUCCGUGCCAGCAGCCGCGGUAAUACGGAGGAUGCGAGCGUUAUCCGGAUUUAUUGGGUUUAAAGGGAGCGCAGGCGGCGCGUCAAGUCAGCGGUAAAAUGUCGGGGCUCAACCCCGGCCGGCCGUUGAAACUGCCGUGCUCGAGUUCGUGCGAGGAGAGCGGAAUGCGUGGUGUAGCGGUGAAAUGCAUAGAUAUCACGCAGAACGCCGAUUGCGAAGGCAGCCCUCCAGCACUGGACUGACGCUGAGGCUCGAAAGCGUGGGUAUCGAACAGGAUUAGAUACCCUGGUA
RNAcentral lists this ribosomal RNA (453 nucleotides) under uncultured Barnesiella sp. RNAcentral describes it as "bacterial SSU rRNA". It matches the Rfam family "Bacterial small subunit ribosomal RNA", at positions 341 to 792 of the family's 1533-position model. Lineage: Bacteria; Pseudomonadati; Bacteroidota; Bacteroidia; Bacteroidales; Barnesiellaceae. The record is from RNAcentral.